CUUUAAAAAUCUGGAUCAAGCUGAAAAUUGAAACACUGAACAACGUAAGUUGUUCGUGAGUCUCUCAAAUUUUCGCGACACGAUGGUGUUUUACGAAACAUCUUCGG
This 107-nucleotide small RNA is filed under the name uncultured Escherichia sp. Its description in RNAcentral is "Salmonella enterica Typhi npcRNA 44". It matches the Rfam family "Salmonella enterica Typhi npcRNA 44". The record is from RNAcentral. Lineage: Bacteria; Pseudomonadati; Pseudomonadota; Gammaproteobacteria; Enterobacterales; Enterobacteriaceae.